AGAGUUUGAUCAUGGCUCAGAAUCAACGCUGGCGGCGCGCUUAACACAUGCAAGUCGCACAAGAAAGUGGAGCAAUCCAUGAGUAAAGUGGCGUACGGGUGAGUAACACGUGGAUGAUCUACCUCUUGGUGGGGAAUAACCCUGGGAAACCGGGGCUAAUACCGCAUAAGCCUGCAAAGGGAAAGCAGCAAUGCGCCGAGAGAGGAGUCCGCGGCCGAUUAGCUAGUUGGUAGGGUAAUGGCCUACCAAGGCAAUGAUCGGUAGCCGGCCUGAGAGGGCACACGGCCACACUGGCACUGAAACACGGGCCAGACUCCUGCGGGAGGCAGCAGUGGGGAAUCUUGCACAAUGGAGGAAACUCUGAUGCAGCGACGCCGCGUGAGCGAUGAAGCCCUUCGGGGUGUAAAGCUCUUUCGACGGGAACGAUAAUGACGGUACCCGGAGAAGAAGCUGCGGCUAACUACGUGCCAGCAGCCGCGGUAAUACGUAGGCAGCAAGCGUUGUUCGGAAUUACUGGGCGUAAAGAGUGUGUAGGCGGUUCUCUAAGUUCGGUGUGAAAUCUCCCGGCUUAACUGGGAGGGUGCGCCGAAAACUGGAGGGCUUGAGUAUGGGAGAGGAAAGCGGAAUUCCUGGUGUAGCGGUGAAAUGCGUAGAUAUCAGGAGGAACACCUGCGGUGUAGACGGCUCUCUGGACCAUCACUGACGCUGAGACACGAAAGCGUGGGUAGCAAACAGGAUUAGAUACCCUAGUAGUCC
RNAcentral lists this ribosomal RNA (756 nucleotides) under uncultured bacterium. RNAcentral describes it as "bacterial SSU rRNA". It matches the Rfam family "Bacterial small subunit ribosomal RNA", at positions 8 to 796 of the family's 1533-position model. The record is from RNAcentral.